This is a non-coding RNA of Cajanus cajan (pigeon pea), 1765 nucleotides long. The record is from RefSeq and is a predicted model, not a curated record. Lineage: Eukaryota; Viridiplantae; Streptophyta; Magnoliopsida; Fabales; Fabaceae.
AGCAACCCAACUCAAAAUUCCCCACCUUUUUGGCAUCUAGUCCUCCUGUUCAAUCCCAAAGACCAAAGAAAGAGUAGAGGAAACAACUCAACUCACGAGAAAGAAAAAGAGUAGAAAUAACCCAACAAAUUCACACGCUCUUUCAACUUCAAACUCCUGGUAUCGGUCGUUGAUUUCGCAUUUUCUCCAUUCCCGAAGAGCACGUUGCACGCUGCACGUUGCGGCCCCUUCGUUAGACCAAUUCGCCGCAUAAACAAAACCCUUUUCUCAAGUUAACCCCCAAAUCAUUACCCCCCCUUUUCCCCCCUGAACUAUUGGACAUUGGAAUUGUAUAUAAAGAAACAAGUUCAUAAAGAUCUGCCAUGAGAACAAUUCCCUUCCCUUCUUCUGCAAACUAAGGAAUUACUUGCCUUCAAUUCUGAUAAAUUGCAUUGUAAGAUUCUAAUAUGAGUGGCAAUGACCAAACUUCUGGUGCUAGUCACAACAUUAGGGCUUUAAUUUCCAACGCUGCUUCUGGUGCUGCUGCUGGGGCAAUAGCGGCUACAUUUGUGUGCCCAUUGGAUGUGAUCAAGACUAGGCUACAAGUUCAUGGUCUUCCUCAUGGGCAAAAAGGUAGUGUUAUUGUCACGGGCUUGAAAAAUAUAGUAAGGAAUGAAGGAUUUAGGGGAAUGUACCGUGGCCUAUCACCAACAAUACUUGCACUACUUCCAAACUGGGCAGUUUACUUCACAAGUUAUGAGCAACUAAAGGCCCUGCUUCGUUCACGUGAUGGUUGCAAUGAACUCACGACAAUUGGAAAUAUUAUAGCUGCUGCUGGUGCUGGGGCAGCAACAGCGAUUUCUACAAAUCCAUUGUGGGUUGUCAAGACAAGACUUCAAACGCAAGGAAUGAGGCCUGGUGUUGUUCCAUACAAGAGCGUUCUUAGUGCUUUGACAAGGAUUACACACGAGGAAGGCAUACGAGGCCUUUAUAGUGGCAUUGUUCCUUCAUUGGCUGGCGUAAGUCAUGUUGCAAUUCAGUUUCCAGCAUACGAGAAGAUCAAGUCUUACAUGGCAGAAAAAGAUAACACAACUGUUGACAAGCUAACUCCUGGGAGUGUUGCCAUUGCAUCAUCAAUUUCAAAAGUAUUUGCCUCUGUAAUGACCUAUCCACAUGAGGUGAUACGAUCUCGGUUGCAAGAACAAGGGCAGGCAAAAAAUAUUGGUGUACAAUAUGCAGGGGUUAUCGACUGUACUAAAAAGGUGUUUCAAAAAGAAGGCAUUGCAGGCUUUUAUCGUGGUUGUGCUACCAAUCUAUUAAGAACAACACCAUCUGCUGUUAUUACAUUCACUAGUUAUGAGAUGAUACACAGGUUUUUGGAGCAAACUAUGCCUCGGGACAAGGGGUAUCCUCAAGGCCGUUCUAAAUCCAAUGAACUUAACAAGCCCCACCCCAGAAGCCAGUGGCACUGAUAGAGGGAAACCACCAUCUCAGUCUAACACAAAAUCUUCAUCAAUUCCUCCCGGAAACAAAGAGCACCUAACAAGACAUUGAUUUCCAUUUAUGUUUUUUUUUUCCCUACAUUUAAUUUAUAACUUAGUGGAUCUGAUUUUCUUUUUAGUUUUUGGGCAUGGAAAUUGCUCAAUUUUACCAGAAUUCUGCAUUAUGUUUAUAGUGUAGCAAAGAAAUAAAGGUGAAAAAAAGUGAAUAAGAAUAAGGUCAUCUUCUCAAGCAUAAUAAAAUGGAGCAAAAAAAUGUGGAACUUCCAUUUGGCUUUGAGACUUAA